UGGUGGGUUGCCUUGUCAGGUUGAUUCCGGUAACGAACGAGACCUCAGCCUGCUAAAUAGUCACGGGUACCUCGGUACACGCUUGACUUCUUAGAGGGACUAUUGGCGUUUAGCCAAUGGAAGUGUGAGGCAAUAACA
RNAcentral lists this ribosomal RNA (138 nucleotides) under uncultured eukaryote. RNAcentral's name for it is "partial 18S ribosomal RNA". It matches the Rfam family "Eukaryotic small subunit ribosomal RNA", at positions 1299 to 1458 of the family's 1831-position model. The record is from RNAcentral.